This 554-nucleotide ribosomal RNA is filed under the name uncultured bacterium. RNAcentral describes it as "partial 16S ribosomal RNA". It matches the Rfam family "Bacterial small subunit ribosomal RNA", at positions 355 to 907 of the family's 1533-position model. The record is from RNAcentral.
UGAGGAAUAUUGGUCAAUGGGCGAGAGCCUGAACCAGCCAAGUCGCGUGAAGGAAGACUGCCUUAUGGGUUGUAAACUUCUUUUAUACAGGAAUAAAAAGGCUUACGUGUAGGCCAUUGCAAGUACUGUAUGAAUAAGCAUCGGCUAACUCCGUGCCAGCAGCCGCGGUAAUACGGAGGAUGCGAGCGUUAUCCGGAUUUAUUGGGUUUAAAGGGUGCGCAGGCGGGCUUUUAAGUCAGCGGUGAAAUCUGGACGCUUAACGUCCAAACUGCCGUUGAAACUGGGAGUCUUGAGUAUGGAUGAAGUAGGCGGAAUUCGUUGUGUAGCGGUGACAUGCAUAGAUAUAACGAGGAACUCCGAUUGCGUAGGCAGCUUACUAAGCCAUAACUGACGCUCAUGCACGAAAGCGUGGGGAUCAAACAGGAUUAGAUACCCUGGUAGUCCACGCCGUAAAACGAUGAUUACUAGUUGUAUGCGAUAUGAUAGUAUGUGACUAAGCGAAAGCGAUAAGUAAUCCACCUGGGGAGUACGCCGGCAACGGUGAAACUUAAAGG